ACCAAUACUGAAAAGGCCACAGAAACUAGAGCGUGUGUCUGCUGCUGCAGUUGGGUUGCAUCACUUCAAACUUGUCUUCUGACUUUGCAUUUUGUGUGGAAGUGCUUUCUGAUGAAGUUUCUGUCAUUGCAGUGACUGUUUUUGUGGUUUACUUACAGACUUCACAGAAUGUAAUCCAGUUGUGGCUGCUCUGCAUAUUCUGUUGACAAGUAUAGAUUCUCGGUAUUGCAUGCAUGCAACUUCGCAUUACUUGUUCUAGCAACGUCGUUGACUUGUGUCAUCCUGUGCUGCUUGUACAAAGUGUUUUGCUUUGAUCUACAUGGAUGGCUGGCAGUAUCUUUUUUUUCCUGACGAUAACUAAUAAGCAGUCCAAAACAGAACACGCAAAGCUUAUGUAUCAUAAAAUUGUGUGAACUUUGUAAAUCAGAGUAGGUUCAUUUGUAAAUUAUUUUAUAGGAUUCCAGGCAACCAUUAAGCUAUGAUAGCUCACCUGGUCUGUUUUGAAGCAAUGAGUCAACCAGGUAACUGAUUUAAUUAUUAUUUUAUCUUCCUUCUCUUAAUAGGCAUGCGUAUGCCUCUUGCUCUUCUUCCCACUUCCUUCCUCUCCUAAUCCUUCAGCAUUUUUUUAAUAUAUAAAAUAAUCACUCAAGAAUGUUGUUGCUUCCUCUACAGCUUUUGUAUUUGCUCCUUGCCUGCUGCUUCUCCCUCUGGCUGCUCCAUCCUCACAGCACGCACUCUUGGUUCAGUCUGGAGCGUGUUGCCCUCUAGGCCUUGUACCCAGCAGCAGUCACUCAGCAAGUCAUGGCUGGGUGUUGGCUACGGGAACGUAAGGAGCACAACCAGAAAAUAUCUCUAACAAUGGGUUGCACAUACUUCCAGGGUGUUAGCAUGAACAGGAACUGGAUCUUAAAUACUCGCUUGUGUGUCUCAGUUCUUGCACUUACUAGAAAUACACAGACAUGAGAAAUGUAAAAAAGAUUCAGUUGUUUAGGAGGCAUCCUGUGUAGUGCAGGCACAGCUUCAUAAACCUAGACAGUCAGGAGAGAAUCCCUAACAGUUAAUAUAUUUGUUACCUUCUGAAGGAGAAAAUUAUAGCACUGAAAGCCAUACUUUUAGUUAAUGGCCAAAACAAACCAGUGAAGAAUACAGUUUCAAAUCCUGACCACCAGCCAUAAAGUUGAUCCAACUGAUAUGUACCACAGCAUGGGACAGACAGUUUCCACAGGUAGUAGCAGUACUUUAGGAGCUGCUGUGCCUCCUCUCAUUAAUGUAUCAAAGUCACUAGAAGAUUUUGGCAAAUUUCACAUAAUGGAAAAAAUUAUCACGUAACUACGCAAGGCAGCCUGUUGCAUGUGGAGAUGUUGCAGCCCUGGUGGCCACUUCAAGCUUGACAAACCAGCCAGUUCAUCCAACAUCCUUUCCUCUCCUGUCUUGUCCAGAAAAGCUCCAAGAGACCUUACGUGGACUGCUGCUUAUCCUAAACCAUUGCAGUUCAUGGUUCUGAACAUUGCUGCAAGUGCACAGAGCUGAGGAGGACACUGCAUGGAUAAAUACGCAUGCGACAACAGGCAACAUGGAGAACAGCUCUCUUCUAUGCAUCAUUUGGAUUUGACUUGUAUUUGACUACCAACAGUCUCAGCAUGGAUCAAGGGCACUGGAAGUUACUGAGCAACACACGUACGCCCAGCGUUGUGUUCCUGAGCAAUGGUAGCUGCAUGGUCCAGAGGGAUCCCAAAGCGCGUGCCUGGGUGAGCACGUACUUGUAGAAACCAACUGGAAAGGAGACACAUAUAUGUUGAAAAUGGUGCUUUUCCACAUGUGGCAACAAGACUUGACCAAGAAACAUCAAGUCACAUAACUACGGCACUUCUCAGAGAUUCAGAUGUGAGCUACUACAAUGAGGUCAUCUAAGAAAUCUAGAACUAAGCUCUUCUAAACUUUAAUUUUUGGCUUUUGACAGCUUUGCUUGGUGCUCUUGCAACUUAGGCAUGUUUCUUAACACUUUUGAGCAAAGUAGGAUUUCAUCGGAUUGUAUUAUAAACGUUAAAAAUGUUAGUGAAAAGAGGUUCAUGCUGUUCUUAUACAUUACUGAAAAUGAAACACGUAUCCACAAAUACUUAUUGUAGUGGCUUACUUUCUCAGCAAUAUUUUUGGCCACUUUGACAGUAAACAUGACGUAAGUUUCAUUUAAAAGUUUGAAGUCCCCUAAGAAUCACUGUCAUUUCCCAGAAGCUGCCUUUGGGAAAAAAAAAAAAAAGAAAAAAAAAGUGUACCCAGUAAACUUUAAAGGGAAGAUAAUGAGAAUUACUAAUGAGAUAAAUGAGAUAAGCGGCUGCCAAAUUUCAUGCAACUCCCUUUCAAUCCAGACAACAACUACAAAUUCGACUGCAAUGAAGAGGUGGAACAAAGAACUGCUGGUUCUCUGGGGAAAGAUGGAAGGGAUUUCAGCCAUCGUUCACACAUCUCAGCAGCUGGCACAGCAGAGGGAUUUACACACACCAAGUCUGUCUCCCCGAUCCCACCCAUUCCCACACUGUGCCUCACAGAACAGAGGAGCCUCUGCGGUGCCGAGUCACAGACUUUGGUGCAUCAGCCCAAACUUUUCUUACAAGUUGCCUUGCGGCAGCUUUACAUUGUUCUUCGGUUACGGAGUCCUUAGAGCUCCUUUGCUAUGGGUAAAAUGACUAAGACAAAUCUUAAGUGAAGAAAAUUAGCUUUAUUUAUGUAAAUUAGAAAAA
Molecule: long non-coding RNA, 2738 nt
Organism: Columba livia (rock pigeon)
Lineage: Eukaryota; Metazoa; Chordata; Aves; Columbiformes; Columbidae
Exons: 3
Source: RefSeq, a predicted model, not a curated record